RNAcentral lists this ribosomal RNA (1334 nucleotides) under metagenome. RNAcentral describes it as "bacterial LSU rRNA". It matches the Rfam family "Bacterial large subunit ribosomal RNA", at positions 1573 to 2925 of the family's 2925-position model. The record is from RNAcentral.
CCUAGGAAAGUAGCGAAGCACAUGAUGACGGCUUCCAGGAAAAGCUUCUGGCAAUGCAUAUGCGGCCCGUACCAAAACCGACACAGGUGGGCAGGGAGAGAAUCCCGAGGUGAGCGAGAGAACUGUUGCCAAGGAACUCGGCAAAAUGACUCCGUAAGUUAGCGAGGAGGAGUGCUUAAGCAAUUAAGCCGCAGUGAAGAGGCCCAAGCGACUGUUUAACUAAAACACAGCUCUCUGCGAAGUCGCAAGACGAAGUAUAGGGGGUGACACCUGCCCGGUGCUGGAAGGUUAAGAGGAUCUGUUAAGAGCGAUCUGAAGCAGUGAUCCGAAGCCCCAGUGAACGGCGGCCGUAACGAUAACGGUCCUAAGGUAGCGAAAUUCCUUGUCAGGUAAGAUCUGACCCGCACGAAAGGUGUAACGAUUUGGGCGCUGUCUCGGCAGCAGACUCGGUGAAAUCUUAGUACCUGUGAAAAUGCAGGUUACCCGCAACUAGACGGAAAGACCCCAUGGAGCUUUACUGCAGCCUGAUAUUGAAUUCUGGUCAUACAUGUACAGGAUAGGUGGGAGACAAAGAGACGUGCACGCCAGUGCACGAGGAGUCGACGUUGGGAUACCACUCUUGUGUGACUGGGGUUCUAACCUGGUAUCGAGAACAGGUACGGGGAGAGUGUCAGGUGGGCAGUUUGACUGGGGCGGUCGCCUCCCAAAGAGUAACGGAGGCGCCCAAAGGUACGCUCAGAUUGGAUGGAAACCAAUCGUCGAGUGCAAUUGCAGAAGCGUGCUUGACUGUGAGACAGACAAGUCGAACAGGGACGAAAGUCGGGAAUAGUGAUCCGGCGGUGCCGAAUGGAAGGGCCGUCGCUCAACGGAUAAAAGCUACCCUGGGGAUAACAGGCUGAUCUCGCCCAAGAGUUCACAUCGACGGCAAGGUUUGGCACCUCGAUGUCGGCUCAUCGCAUCCUGGAGCUGGAUUCGGUUCCAAGGGUUGGGCUGUCCGCCCAUUAAAGCGGUACGCGAGCUGGGUUCAGAACGUCGUGAGACAGUUCGGUCCCUAUCUGUUGUGGGCGAAGGAGAUCUGCGGAGAGCUGUCCUCAGUACGAGAGGACCGGGAUGGACCUACCGCUGGUGCACCGGUUGUUCCGCCAGGGGCAUAGCCGGGUAGCUAAGUAGGGAAAGGAUAAGCGCUGAAAGCAUCUAAGCACGAAGCCUACUCCAAGAUGAGAUCUCCCAUUCGCAAGAAGUAAGACCCCUUAAAGACGAUAAGGUAGAUAGGCCAGGGAUGGAAGUGCAGUGAUGUACGGAGUUGACUGGUACUAAUCGGUCGAGGACUUAGU